AAGACUGUACUUCACAGGAUCAUUUCUGUAGUACGUCUUCACUUCUCUCUACUCAACUGUAGAGUCAAUGAAACCACGAGGAUGAGACGAAGUCUUCUUCCCUGAGCGUGAGGCCGACUGAAAUCAGCUCUUGCUGAUGACAGCCAUCGAUGAUCGUUCACACUCUGCUUGCAGAGUGCACGGGGGAGACGGAGAGGG
Frankliniella occidentalis (western flower thrips) is the source of this 198-nucleotide small nucleolar RNA. RefSeq annotates it as small nucleolar RNA U3. The record is from RefSeq and is a predicted model, not a curated record. The transcript has a single exon. Lineage: Eukaryota; Metazoa; Arthropoda; Insecta; Thysanoptera; Thripidae.